This 564-nucleotide long non-coding RNA is filed under the name Mus spicilegus (steppe mouse). RNAcentral describes it as "lncRNA (ENSMSIG00000026192.1)". Lineage: Eukaryota; Metazoa; Chordata; Mammalia; Rodentia; Muridae. The record is from RNAcentral.
GUGAUGUCCUGCCAGCCUGGGGAACCCUCGCAGGACCCUGCAAAGGGCCUGCUCACAGCCUUUUGUGGUGUUCAGAGCCAGAAGCAGACAACAGAGAGCAUAAGCUGUGGAAGACCAUGACCAGUGCCAAGGGCAGGAGGGAACUAGCCAAGAACUUCUCUGGAGGACAGUCCAGUUUAUUUGCCGAGGAUUCCUUUUGGAAAGGAAUGUGGACUCACAUUUUGCAUUAAGAAACUGGAAAAUCUUCUCGUAGGUCCUGGCAUAGUGCUGCCCAUGUCCUGGGUAGAUCUUGUACCAGCUGAAACUGCACAGCUCGACCUUCAUGGCGAUAGAUGUCGGCCUGCCGGGGGAAAGAUGGCGAAGAGCGGGCAUGGAUGCUAAUACCCUCAUCCUAACUGCCUAGAAGCCAGUCUUCUGUUAUUUGCCUUUGAAACAAGGGGUGGAACUCUCAUUUCCUCCAUUCCCACGUCUGCCUGGAUGCUGCAAUGUUCCUGCCUUGAUGAUAAUGGACUGAACCUCUGACCUGUAAGCCAGCCCCAAUAAAAUGUCAUCCUUAUAAGUGUU